RNAcentral lists this ribosomal RNA (463 nucleotides) under uncultured fungus. Its description in RNAcentral is "SSU rRNA". It matches the Rfam family "Eukaryotic small subunit ribosomal RNA", at positions 20 to 486 of the family's 1831-position model. The record is from RNAcentral. Lineage: Eukaryota; Fungi.
GUAGUCAUAUGCUUGUCUCAAAGAUUAAGCCAUGCAUGUCUAAGUAUAAGCAAUCUAUACGGUGAAACUGCGAAUGGCUCAUUAAAUCAGUUAUCGUUUAUUUGAUAGUACCUUACUACUUGGAUAACCGUGGUAAUUCUAGAGCUAAUACAUGCUAAAAACCUCGACUUCGGAAGGGGUGUAUUUAUUAGAUAAAAAACCAAUGCCCUUCGGGGCUCCUUGGUGAUUCAUAAUAACUUAACGAAUCGCAUGGCCUUGUGCCGGCGAUGGUUCAUUCAAAUUUCUGCCCUAUCAACUUUCGAUGGUAGGAUAGUGGCCUACCAUGGUUUCAACGGGUAACGGGGAAUUAGGGUUCUAUUCCGGAGAGGGAGCCUGAGAAACGGCUGCCACAUCCAAGGAAGGCAGCAGGCGCGCAAAUUACCCAAUCCCGACACGGGGAGGUAGUGACAAUAAAUACUGAUAC